ACCCUUUAAUGUUUGAUGUUCUAACGUGGACCCGUGAUCCGGGUUGCGGACAGUGUCUGGUGGGUAGUUUGACUGGGGCGGUCUCCUCCUAAAGAGUAACGGAGGAGCACGAAGGUUGGCUAAUCCUGGUCGGACAUCAGGAGGUUAGUGCAAUGGCAUAAGCCAGCUUGACUGCGAGCGUGACGGCGCGAGCAGGUGCGAAAGCAGGUCAUAGUGAUCCGGUGGUUCUGAAUGGAAGGGCCAUCGCUCAACGGAUAAAAGGUACUCCGGGGAUAACAGGCUGAUACCGCCCAAGAGUUCAUAUCGACGGCGGUGUUUGGCACCUCGAUGUCGGCUCAUCACAUCCUGGGGCUGAAGUAGGUCCCAAGGGUAUGGCUGUUCGCCAUUUAAAGUGGUACGCGAGCUGGGUUUAGAACGUCGUGAGACAGUUCGGUCCCUAUCUGCCGUGGGCGCUGGAGAACUGAGGGGGGCUGCUCCUAGUACGAGAGGACCGGAGUGGACGCAUCACUGGUGUUCGGGUUGUCAUGCCAAUGGCACUGCCCGGUAGCUAAAUGCGGAAGAGAUAAGUGCUGAAAGCAUCUAAGCACGAAACUUGCCCCGAGAUGAGUUCUCCCUGAGACUUAAAGUCUCCUGAAGGAACGUUGAAGACGACGACGUUGAUAGGCCGGGUGUGUAAGCGCAGCGAUGCGUUGAGCUAACCGGUACUAAUGAACCGUGAGGCUUAACCUUACAACGC
This 736-nucleotide ribosomal RNA is filed under the name Salmonella enterica subsp. enterica serovar Newport. RNAcentral describes it as "partial 23S ribosomal RNA". It matches the Rfam family "Bacterial large subunit ribosomal RNA", at positions 2202 to 2925 of the family's 2925-position model. Lineage: Bacteria; Pseudomonadati; Pseudomonadota; Gammaproteobacteria; Enterobacterales; Enterobacteriaceae. The record is from RNAcentral.